RNAcentral lists this ribosomal RNA (1039 nucleotides) under Bemisia tabaci. RNAcentral describes it as "SSU rRNA". It matches the Rfam family "Eukaryotic small subunit ribosomal RNA", at positions 1011 to 1825 of the family's 1831-position model. The record is from RNAcentral. Lineage: Eukaryota; Metazoa; Arthropoda; Insecta; Hemiptera; Aleyrodidae.
GAUACCGCCCUAGUUCUAACCGUAAACUAUGCCAGCUAGCGAUCCGCCGACGAUCCCUCCGUUAUGGCUCGGCGGGCCGCUUCCGGGAAACCAAAGCUAACGGGUUCCGGGGGAAGUAUGGUUGCAAAACUGGAACUUAAAGGAAUUGACGGAAGGGCACCACCAGGAGUGGAGCCUGCGGCUUAAUUUGACUCAACACGGGAAACCUCACCAGGCCCGGACACCGGAAGAUUGACAGAUUGAGAGUUCUUUCUCGAUUCGGUGGGUGGUGGUGCAUGGCCGUUCUUAGUUGGUGGAGUGAUUUGUCUGGUUAAUUCCGAUAACGAACGAGACCCCGUCCUGCUAGUUAGGCGAUCCGGGCGCCUCCCGCUCUGGGGCGGCGGUUCGUUCGCGGGCCGUCGUUCCUCGACGUGGGGCUCUAAGCCCGGGACCCGGUAUCGUGAUCCGCACCCCGUCCGCCUCUCGGGGCGAGACCCGUCGGGGCGGCCGUGCCGGUUCGCGCCGUUUGUCGGCGGUCGUUUACCGGCGGGAGCAGUGGGUCGGAGGGCCCGGUCCUCUCGGGGGCCGGACACGCUCGCUACCGGCGGAAUUUUACUCAGCUUCUUAGAGGGACAAACGGCGCAGUCAGCCGUGCCGAUACGGAGCGAUACAGGUCUGUGAUGCCCUUAGAUGUCCUGGGCGGCACGCGUGCUACAAUGACGAUCAGCGUGUUCUACCCUACGUCGAGAGACACCGGUAACCCCCUGAAUCCCGUCCGUGAAGGACCGGAGCUUGCAAUUGUUCCCCGCGAACGAGGAAUUCCCAGUAGUCGCGAGUCAUAACCUCGCGGCGAUUAAGUCCCUGCCCUUUGUACACACCGCCCGUCGCUACUACCGAUCGAGCGGUUCGGCGAGGACCUCCUACGGCUCGCCGGCGAUCCGCUUCGUGCGGGGCCGCCGGUGCAGCAUGCGGUUUUGUGCCGCGGAAAGUCGACCGAGCCCGAUCGUUUAGAGGAAGUAAAAGUCGUAACAAGGUUUCCGUAGGUGAACCUGCGGAAGGA